This 14060-nucleotide long non-coding RNA is filed under the name Lathyrus oleraceus (garden pea). Its description in RNAcentral is "Pisum sativum (pea) long non-coding RNA (PSAT_LNC019878)". Lineage: Eukaryota; Viridiplantae; Streptophyta; Magnoliopsida; Fabales; Fabaceae. The record is from RNAcentral.
GAACAUCUACUGAGAGGAGAUCCAAAAUCUGGCCAAACUUUCCUUGCAAAGUAACCCUGAAGCAUGCGGGAAGUUCAUUCAAAAGUCUUGAUAUGUUGGAAAUAUCUGGCAUUUUGGCUUUGAAUGGUAAUGCUUUCCUUCUUUCUGAACCCAUUACAAACUUUUUAUGCUAGCAACUGCGUAUUCAAAAAUUCCCUGAAAAUAAAAUUUUGUAUGAGUGUCAUGAUGUUAUGCAAAUGAUCAUGAAUGCAUGGUAUUUGGUUUUGGGAUAUCAUAAGGUAACUCAAAACACCCUAUUUGGUAGGCUUCUUAAUAGAUAGUUCUAAGUUGUGAAUGCAUGGUAUUUGGUUUUGGGAUAUCAUAAGGUAACUCAAAACACCCUAUUUGGUAGGCUUCUUAAUAGAUAGUUCUAAGUUGGUUACCCAUAAACCCACUCACAGGAUAGUUUCUACAUUUUUUCCCAGAGUCAUGGACCAUAACUGUAUCAACAUCAUGCAACAGGCUAGCCGUUUUAUGACAAGAGUGACGAAAGGUCUCUUCUGAGCGGGGUUUUCAUGUUGGGUGCAACAAGGAGAGGCCCUUGGAGUCCAACAUUACGCAACCACCAAAGUAGAAAUUGGUUCUAAGAGGGAUCAUAGAGUCAUGGACCCUUCAUGAAUCAACGUCAUGCGAUAGGCUAGCUGUCUUAUAACGAGAUCUACAAACAGGUCUACUCUAGGAGAGUCUUCAUGCUAGACACGCAAGGAGUGGCCCUUGGGGACUAACACUACACAACUUCAAAUUCUAAACUUAUGUGUUCUCUCUUCAUUUUCCAAAUCUCGGGUGUAGAGCUUUAUUCAUGAUAUCAAAAAUCCCAAAGCCCACAUAUGAACGUAUAUACAGAUAUACAAAUGCGAUAAAGUAGGGAUAAAGAAAUCACAUAACAAAGGAAGAAAAAUAAACAAACAAAGCUAACACACAUACGAAAACUUAAAUGAACUAGGGUUGACUCACUUAGGGAUGUUCCUGUUGUAACACCCCGAUAAAAUAAGAUAAUUAUUUAAUUUAAGUUAAUAAUAUAUUUAUUAAUUUAAUUAAAUAAUUGGAAUAUUAUUAUUGGAAUUAUUAUUAUUGGGUUAUUAUUUUAUCUGGAAUAAAAGUUGGGAAUUUGAAAAGGUCCCAUUUGGUAAAAGGGUAUUUUCACGUGAAAAGGGAAAAAGGAGACAGAAAAGUGGAUAAGGGCAAAGAGACCAUAGAACAAGGUUGAAGAGAGGAAGAGCUUGAGCUGCAAAGAAUUCGCCGGAUUAACUCAGGUAAGGGGGGUUUAUCAUCGUUUAAUGGGUAUUAUGGGAUAAUAUGUAAUGGUUAGUGAUAAAACAUUGAUUUACCUCUGAUUGGAAUAAUUAUGCUGAAAAUUGUGAACGUUUGGGAUGAACCGAAUCUGGGAUUAAAGGUGAAGGAAAUUCGUAGGAAUUAGAUGCAAUAGUGUUAGAAAUUGUGAGAUCGAAUAGGUUAUGAUUCGUGUUAGAUGAUAUGAACGAUUAUUUGUGAAAAAUUGGACUGUGGAAGGUUGAAUUGGAUAGAUCUCGCAGCAGAGAAGACCCAUAGCAGAUCUGGAAAUCUGGUUUCUGGUCAUACGCGUAUGGCACUAGGCAAUACGCGUAUGAGAUGGUCUGGUACGCGUAUGGCACUAGGCAUUACGCGUAUGGAUGAGGAAGAUGAUGUUUUGAACGUAGUUUGGUCUCUGUUGGUACGCGUAUGGGGAAGUGAUACGGUAGCAUACGCGUAUGAGAUGGUGUUACGCGUAUGGGAUUUGGCUGAGAAAUGGGCCAUACGCGUAUGGGACUAGGCAAUACGCGUAUGGGCAGGAUUGUGAUUUUUCUGUGCUGUUGUUGUGCAGUUUUUGGUUGUUCAGCUGAGUAAUGUGAUUUAGCUGAUGUACGAUAUAUUAGGGAUCAUUUCCCGUUGUUUUGAGUAGUAUAGGUAUUAGUAGAGUGUGCUAAUACUGUGGUGUUCUUUGGCAUGAUCUGAUAUGCUUAUGUGAUAAAAUAUUGAUGAUUGUGUGAUGGUAUGCAUGAUCUUGUGAAUGUAUCAGUUAUGUGUGCAUUUGUGAAUAGACUGUUUUAUGGCUUAGAGUUGUGAGCAUAUGUCUAUUCUUGAAUUGUGGUUGAUGAUUUAGCAUUGCUAGGUGAUUAGCAUGCAUAUUGUGGCCUUUAUGGUGGUAGCUAAUCCCAUGGUGAGGAAUUAGUGAGUUAGUCAUUUUGGACUGUUGUUGAUGUUUGCAUGCAGGUGAAUUAGCGUGCAUAGCAUGGCCCUUGGGGUGGUAGCUAAUUCCCAUGGUGAGGGAUUAGUGAGUGAGUCACUAGGUCUCAAAUGAGUGGGACUAGUGGGCUUGGUAGCCGUGCCUGGAUUUGGACGGUGAGGUGAACUAUAUGUUCACAAAAUAGUCGGUACGGCAUGCAUGGAGUCUCAUUGCAUAAUAUGUGUAUGGCGUAUAAUAUGAAUGGAUGUAUUCCAAUAUUAUACGUGUUUUUGUGUUGAUAUUGAGUAUGAGCAUGAAUUGUAUUGGUAUUGAGUAUGAUAUUUUGAAUUGAUGUGCCCGUUACCGAAUGUGUGAUGUGAUUAAGGUGAUGAUAUGUGUUAAAUUACUUAGCAUUACAUGAUGUUUUAUAAUGCUUAUUAUAUCGAUUGAGGAACUCACCCUUACAACUAUUUUUCGAGGUAACGGAGCAGUGAUUGAGUAGAAGCUAGUGCUUGGAGUUAGUGUAGUUCUUUAGUGGGUCAUGCUCUGGUAGAUGUAACAUCGGGAUGGGAUGUUUUACUAACGUUUUCAUUUGGUUGUUGAACAACUUUACAUGUAAUGUAUUACAUAGUUUGAAUGUUGUUGUUAUAUUUCUAUCCGCUGCGUAUUAUGCCAAAAUGUUUUAUUUUGAUUAAAUAAAUGAGCAUGACAGGAUAUUUUGGAACAUGGUGUGAAGUGUUUGGUGUGACACCUUAGUUGCAUAUUUCUCUGAUUUAUGUUUGAUGUUUUAAUUUAAAUUUUGGGGUAUUUUAGAAGGGUGUUACAUUAGUGGUAUCAGAGCAUAAGUCGGUCGAGUCGAGUCGUAAUUAUUCUGUUCCCCUGUACGGGAUAGGUGUUGUGUAACCUAUCAGUACUUACUGUUUUAGCUUGUUGGGUUUUCAGAAAGAGAUGGCUGGAAGAGGUAGAGAUGAUGCUGCGAUUGCUGAGGCUCUGGGUAUGCUAGCUGGAGUACUUGAGGAAAUCCGAAUGUUGUGGGAAUGGGAGCUGCUCGUCAGCUGAGUUGAGUUCCAGAAGAACAAUCCUCCAAUGUUCAAGGGAGCAUACGAUCCAGAUGUGCUCAGAAGUGGUUGAAGGAGAUCGAGAGGAUCUUCCGAGUGACUGAGUGUGCCGAUAACCAGAAGGUCAGGUUCGGUAUCGCAUUGAUGCUGUCAGAGAAGAAGCAGUGAUUGGAUGGGUUGCUACCCGCACUGAGUUGGAAAGCUGCUGGGAUGCUGAGAUCACUUGGGCGGUGUUCCGAGAGCGAUUCCCUGGAGAAGUACUUUCCAGAGGAUGUUGAGAGGAAAGAAAGAGAUAGAGUUAUUGGAAUUGAAGCAGGGCAAUCCUGUUACUGAGUAUGCUGCUAAUUCACAGAGCUGUUCAGUAUUACACUCCCUAUAACGAGGCUACUGGGGAAUUUCGGAAAUGUGUUGAAGUUUGAGAACGGAUUACGUCCCGAGAUUCAAGUAGGCUAUGUGGGUAUCAGCGGAUGAGAGUGUGUUUCCGCCGAUUUGGUUGACUGUUGCAGGGAUUUUUGAACAGGAUACCAAAGGCUAGAGCAGAGAGCUAUCAGCAAAGGGUUGACUUAGGAAGGCAAGAAUCAGAAUGAUCGUUGGGAACCGAAUGCAGCUGGCAAAGAUUUCCCAGCCGACGAGUGGAUGAAAGAGGUCUCUAGUGGGGAGACUCCAAGUGCCCCUGCUAAUGGUUUCAGAUGUGGUCAGGCUGGACAUCGUAUCCAUGAGUGUACCAGUGCUGAGAAGAAGUGUUUUUUUAAGUGUGUGCCAGAAGGUGUCACUUGGCUGCAGAUUUGCGGUUGAAGACUGUGACUGUGUUCACCUAUGGAGAAUGGGUCAUAUCAGUCACAGAUGUCCGCCGAAGAAGGGAGAAUCAUCGGGAGGCAAGGUCUUUGCUUUAAUCGGGUUCUGAGCUUUUGCAGAUGAUCGUUUGAUCCGAGGUACGUGUUAUAUUAAUGGCUUUCCUUUUGUAGCUAUUAUUGACACAGGUGCGACCAUUCCUUUAUAUCUUUGGAUUUGGAUGCCUGUGAAACUUAAGUUAGAGAUAUCUGAAUGCGGCGAAGUAGGUGAUGAUACUCCUCGAAGGGUUCAGUGACUAUAACUUCAGUUUUUUGAAUUGUCCUUUGAGUAAUCUUUGGUAAGAGACUUGGGAUGGACCUCGUGUGUCUUCCACUAGUGCAGGUUGAAUGGUUAUCCUGGGUAUGAACUGGUUGGUGUUUAACCGAGUCUAUAUCAAAUUGUUUUGACAAGAACUGUGAUCUUUCCUUAGGAGUGUGAUAGGGAAGGAUUUGUUUCCAUCAGCGAGAGUCAGGUGAAUGAGGCUAGUAACGGAUGGGGCAGAGUUGUUUUAUGGCUGCUAGCGACUUUGGAGGCUAAAGAUAUAACUUGGCGAUUGCGAUCUAGCCGUGGGUGUGAUUUUCCUGAUGUGUUUCCUGAAGGAAGUGAAUGAAUUACCGCCCAGAACGUUGAAAGUUGAGUUCUCGAUUGAUUUUGGUUACCUGGUCUAAGGCCGUGUCGAUGGCUCCGUACGUAUUGUGUCUGCUGUUAGUUUAGCUGGAAUUGAAGAGUCAGCUGGAGAUCUGGGGAUAAGAAAUUUAUUCGUCCGAGUGUGAUCACCGUGGGUUGGCACGAGUGUAUUGGUUAAGAAGAAAGAAGUUGUAUCUCAUGAGGUUGGUGUGGACCUACAUGCGCCGGGGAACUGAAUUAAAGUGACAUCAAGAAUUGGUAUCCUUUUGCCGAGGAUUGAUGAUUUGAUGGAUCAAGUGUUUGGUGCGAGGGUGUUCAGGCAAAAGUAGAUUUGAAAGAUCUGGUAUCAUCAGAUUACGUGUGAGAACUGAGGAUAUUCAGAGACUGCUUUCGAACCAAGGUUAUGGGACAUUAUGAGUAUUUUGUAAUGCCUUUUGGUGUGACUAAAUGCGCCUGGAGUAUUUAUGGAGUAUAUGAAUAGGAUUUUCCCAUUCCGUACCUCUAGAUCAGUUGUUGUGGUGUUUAUUGACGAAUAUUUUGGUUAUUCGAAAAUCUGAAGAAGAGCAUGCUGAACAUGUUGAGGAGUGGUUUUCGGGAGUUCUGCGAGAAAAGAAGUUAUUUGCUUAAACUGUCUAAGUGGUGAAUUUUGGUUAGAAAGAGGUUAGUUUUCUUGGUCAUGUAAUUUCAGAGGUGGUGUUGCUUUGAUCCUUCUAAGAUAGAAGCGGUAUCUCUAAGUGCGGAAGCUCCAAGUCAGUUUCUGAGUAAGGAGUUUUUCUUGGACUGCAGUAUUAUAGGAAAUUCAUUAAGGGAUUUCUAAGUUGCGGUUACCGUUGACGAUGUUGACUAGAAGGGGCAAGCGUUUGUUUUGGGCUCAAAAAUUUGAAGAAGGUUUCCAAGAGAUAAGUGCAAGGUUAACUACUGCUCCUAUUCUGAUACACGAGUUCGUCGGAAUCAUUUGAGUUACUGUUGAUGCUUCAAUUGUUGGGUUUGGGUGGUAUUGGAUGCAGAAUAAGCAGUUAUAUGCUUUUGCUUCGAGACAGCUGAGGGUUCAAUGAGAAGGAACUAUCCGACAACGAUUUUAGAGUGUGGCAGCCGUGUAUUCUAAUUAUGGCAAUUACUUGUACGGGUCAAGAUUUUUGAGGGUUUUCAUAGUGAACCGAUAAAAAGUUUAAAGUAUUUUUUUGUGUAUGCAAGAAAGAGCUGAAUAUGAGACAGAGGAGAUGUUAGAGUUUCUGAAGGAUUAUGAACUUUGGUUUGAAUUACCAUCCGGGUAAACAAACGUAGUGGCUGAUGCAUUGAGUCGGAAAAUCUUGCAUAUGUCUUGUUAAUGGUUAAAGAAUUGGAUUUAAUUGGAACAGUUCAGAGACUUGAGGUUUGGUGUGGUGAGAGUAGUUUAAAUGGGAAUGUUGAAGUUAACGGAGUGGUUAUUCUGGAUGAGAUUAGAGAGGGGUCCAGAAAUCCGAUGUGCUUUUGGUUGACAAGCUUGACUCUAGUGAAUCAAGGUCAAGGUGGUGAAUUCAGGAGUUGAUGAGAUUGUAAUUUGGUAAUCGGGUGUUAUUUCGUAUGUUACCGAACUUAAGAAGAGUAUUCUUGAGGAAGGACAUCGAGUGGCCUGAAGUAUUCAUCCUGGCAGCUACGAAGAAUGUAUCAUGAUUUGAACAAAAGUUUAUUUUGGUGGCCGGGAAUGAAAAGAGAAAUUUGCGAGUUUUGUUUAUCGUUGUUUGACUUGAGUAAGUGCGAAUUGAGCAUCAGAAGCCGUCUGGGCUAAUGCAAACCGUUGGCUAUUCCAGGAGUGAGUGGGAAUAGUAUCGUUAUGGAUUUGUUUCUGGUUUACCGAAGGACAAUUAAGAUUUUGAAGCUAUUUGGGUGAUGUUUGACAUGAUUGACGAAAUCGGCUCAUUUCAUUCCGAUCAGAAUGGAUUAUCCGUUAGGAAGAUAGCGAGUUGUAUAUUGAGAAAGAAUUGUAAGGUGUGCGAUGGUAAUUCCGGUCGGGAGAAAAUUGUUUUCGGACAGAGAUCCUAGAUUUACAUCUAAGUUAUGGGAAGGUUUGCAGAAGGUUUGGGAACUAGCUAGAGUUGAGUCUGCCAUUCAUCAAGCAGACUAGAUGGUCAGACCUGAGGACGACGAUUCAGUCACUAGAGGAUCUUUUGAGGGCUUGUGUUUUGGAAAAGGGAGUGCUUGGGAUUGUUAUUACCUUUGAUUGAGUUUACCUACAACAAUAGUUUUCAUCUCGAGGCAUUGGUAUGGCACCGUUUGAAGCUUUGUAUUGGUAGGAGAUGUCGACACCUUUAUGUUGAGGUAUGAGUCCGGUGAGAGUGCUGUGGUUGGACCGGAGUUGUUCAUCAACUACGGAAAAGCAUUAAGAAUGAUUCAGGACAAGAUGAAGGAUUGCUCAGGUCGUCAGAAGAGUUAUCAACGACAGAGAAGGAAAGUCACUUGAGUUCAAGAGGGGGAUCAUGUGUUUCUUCCGUGUACUAUCCGAUAACUGGGGUUGGUCGAGCUUUUAAAGUCGAAAAAAGUUUGACACCUCGAUUUUAUUGGGUCCUAUUCAGAUUUUUGGAGAGGAUAAGGGAGGUAGCCUAUCGUAUCGCUUUUACCGCCGUCACUGCGAAUUUGCAGAAGUUUUCAUGUGGGGUUUUCUCUCAGUUGAGGAGGUACAUUCAUGAUCCGCGCCUGGGGUCUCCGAGUAGAUGAUGGUCCAGGUGAGAGAUAACUGACUGUUGAAACAUCACCUAUUGAGGAUUUGAGGAUCGAGAGUAGCAGUUGCGCGGUAAGAGAAUUGCUUUGGUGAAGGUAGGCUUGGGAGACCAGCAGGUGGCAAUGUGACUGGGAACUUUGAGAAGUUCAGAUUGAAGAGUUCCUAUCCAGAGUUAUUCCGCUUGAGGUAUGUUUUCGAGGAACGAAAACUCUUUUAGUGGGGGAGAGUUUGUACACCCCGAUAAAAAUAAGAUAAUUAUUAAUUUAAGUUAAUAAUAUAUUUAUUAUUUAAAUUAAAUAAUUGGAAUAUUAUUAUUGGAAUAUUAUUUAUUGGGUUAUUAUUUUAUUGGAAUAAAAGUUGGAAUUAGAAAGGUCCCAUUUGGUAAAAGGGUUAUUUUCACGUGAAAAGGAAAAAGGAGAAAGAAAAGUGGAUAGGGCAAGAGAACCAUAGAAACAAGGGUUGAAGAGAGGAAGAGCUUGAAGCUGCAAGAUACCGGUUAACUCAGGUAAGGGGGUUAUCAUCGUUUAAUGGGUAUUAUGGGAUAAUAUGUAAUGGGUAGUGAUAAAACCAUUGAUUUACUCUGAUUUGGAUAAUUAUGACUGAAAAUUGUGAACGUUUGGAGAUGAACAAUCUGGAUUAAAGGUGAAGGAAAUUGUAGGAAUUAGAUGCAAGAUAGUGUUAGAAAUUGUGGAGAUCGAAUAGGUUAUGAUUCGUGUUAGUAUGAUAUGAACGAUUAUUGUGAAAAAAUUGGGACUUGGAAGGUUGAAUUGAUAGAUCUUCGCAGCAGAGAAGACCAUAGCAGAUCUUGGAAAUCGGUUUUGGUCAAUACGCGUAUGGCACUAGGCAACGCGUAUGAGAUGGUCUGGUACGCGUAUGGCACUAGGCAUUACGCGUAUGGAUGAGGAAGAUGAUGUUUUGGAACGUAGUUUGGUCUCUGUUGGUACGCGUAUGGGGAAGGAUACGCGUAGGCAAUACCGCGAUGAGAUGGUGUUACGCGUAUGGAUGCUGAGAAAUUGGGCAUACGCGUAUGGACUUAGGCAAUACGCGUUUGGGAGGAUUGUGAUUUUCUGUGCUGUUGUUGUGCAGUUUUUUGGUUUUCAGCGAGUGAAUUGUGAUUUAGCUGAUGUAACGAUUACUUAGGUUUUUCGUUGUUUUUGAGUAGUAUAGUAUUAACGUAGAGUGUGCUAAUACUGUGGCUUGUUCUUUGGCUUGAUCUGAUUGCUUAAUGUGAUAAAAUAUUUGAUGAUGUGUGAUUGGUAAUGCAUGAUCUUGUGAAUGUAUCAGUUAUGUGUGCAUUGUGAAAUAAGACUUUUUUAUGCUUAGAGUGUGAGCAUAUUCUAUUCUUUAGAAUUGUGGUUGAUGAUUUAGCAUUGGCUAGGUGAUUAGCAUGCAUAUUGUGGGCCUUUAUUGGUGGUAGCUAAUUCCCAUGGUUGAGGAAUUAGUGAGUUAGUCAUUUUGGACUGUUGUUUGAUGUUUGCAUGCUAGGUGAAUUAGCGUGCUUAGCAUGGCCCCUUGGGGUGGUAGCUAAAUUCCCAUGGGUGAGGGAUUAGUGAGUGAGUCACUAUCUCAAAUGAGUGGGACUUAGUGGGCUUGGUAGCCGUGCUGGAUUUGGACGGUGAGCGUGAACUAUAUGUUCACAAAUAGCGGUACCGCAAUGCAUGGAGUCUCAUUGCAUAAUUAUGUUAUGGCGUAUAAUAUGAAUGGAUGUUAUUCCAAUAUUAUACGUGUGUUUUGUGUUGAAAUUGAGUAUAUGAGCAUGAAUUGUAUUGGUAUUGAGUAUGAUAUUUGAAUUUGAUGUGCCGUUAUCCGAAUGUGUGAUGUGAUUAAAGGUGAUAUAUGUGUUAAAUUAUACUUAGCAUUACAUGAUGUUUAUAAUGCUUAUGUAAUAUCGAUGAGGAACUCACCCUUACAACUAUUGUUCAGGUAACGAGCAGUGAUUGAGAUGAAAGCUAAGUGCUUUGGGUCUAGUGUUAGUUCCCUUAGUGGGUCAUGCUCUGGUAGAUGUAACAUCGGGGAUGGAUGUUUUACUACGUUUUCAUUUGGUUGUUGAAACAACUUACAUGUAAUGUAUUACAUAGUUUGAAUGUUGUUUGUUAAUUCUAUCCGCUGCGUAAUUAUGCAAAUGUUUUAUUUUGAAUUAAAUAAAUGAGCAUGACAGGAUAUUUUGGAACAUGGUGUGAAGUGUUUGUGUGACACCCUUAGUUGCAUAUUUACUCUGAUUUAUGUUUUGAUGUUUUAAUUUAAUUUUGGGAUAUUUUAGAAGGGUGUUACACUUGUCCCCAGCAGAGUCGUCAUCUGUCGCACCUCGAAAAGUGAGAACACAACUUAAGCGAGGCACAAUCGCACACUCGUAUGAUGGACUGAACAAAGUCGCCACCGAACUUUAUUUAUUCCCAAAUAGGGAAAGGGGAAAUAUCGAUAAAACCUCUAAAAGAAAGGAUAAAAUAUGGUCAUCGCAACCAAUAUCAGGGUUCGGGAGUCGAUUACGCAAGGGGAAGAUAUUAGCACCCCCCACGUCCGUUGUACUCAAUGGGAACCAUUAGGUUAAUUAUGCGCGUUAGUGUUAGCUUAGAAAUGUUAGGCUUCUCGAGUUAUUAGGUGGGAAAGAAAGAAUAGAAGAGAGAAGAAUGUUUUUGGAUUUUUGCAACGAAGGAGACUAAACCUAAGUUUUUUAUUAAUGGGCCUGACAAGAUUUCGUAAUCCUGCUCCUACGUAUCUCAAUCGAGAACUCAAGGUUUACGUAGUUGUAGGUAGAAAAAUGUUUGUUUGUUGGUUGAUUUUAGCGAAAGCUAUAUUGUAUUAAUCGAUGAAAAAAAACAUUAUUUUACCCAAAAUAGAUGAGGAGCGGACGUAUACCACACAUCAAAUGGAUUUACAAAUCAACAUUCGGAAAAACGUCAUUUAUCUCAACUUAACAAUUAUGGACGAAGCAUUGUUUCACAUCAUCUUAAGACAAUAUGUCUUUUGUUUAUGAAAAUGUUUUUUCACAUUAAUUGCACGGAGGCGAGAAAAGAGUUUGAUGUGUUGGAUGUAUUUUAUAGGUGAAUGACGAAUAUUUGAUGAGAACGAGACAUGAGCCUCGGGAUCAAUCACUCGGGGUUCCACCGGAAUACUAGAUUCCAAUGGUCCUUUUUCAUUCGAAUCAGUUGAGAAAUUUGCUUGAUGGACAACAAACGCUUGAUAAUAAUCAAUUGCUCAAAGGGUUACAUCAGAAUGCGAGAUCCCAACGACCCUUAUUUGUCCAAAUUAAUUAAUGUGUUUUAAAAAAGAUGAACAGUUAAUCUAAAACGCGUGGUUCAAGACCGAUCAUUCAAGGGUUCCUACCGGAAUGCUAGAUUCCAAUAGUCCACUUCUUUUGAGUUAUUCAAAAAAAUGUUUUAAUAUUUUAACUUAAAUAGUAAAGCGUUUUAAUUGGGAUAAGAAACAAAUUAAUCAGAUUAAAAUGUAUAACUUGGGGUAGGAUCAAAGUUUAAGAAAGUAGUCAUAAGUAUUUUAUUUUAUUAAUUAGUCAACAUCAAUACUAAAUAUUUAUUUAAUUAUUUAUUCGUAAUAUUCUAACAAUAAUAAAUAAAAACUACAAAGAAAAUGAUAUUAUAUGAAAAUAAUAAUUCUAUAGUUAUUCAAACAUUUAGAGAAAAUAGCAAGAAAUUAAGUUGAAGAAAAAUACAAUUAUAUUCUUUUAUGUCUAGUAAAAUAAAGUGAGAGAAUAAGACCAAUUUAAUAUUAGACAUAUGCAUAUUAUUUAUAAAAAAUCUGAAAAUAAAACAAUUAAAUACUUUUUUAUUCUCUUUAAAAUCUACCUAAAAUAACAACCAAAGAAAAUAAAUUAAACAUAAUCUUUUUAUUUUUCUAACAUAAUCUAAUGAUAAAAAUAAAUAUAUUUAAAUUAACUCUUUUUAUAUUUUUAUAACAUAAUUUAAAAUAAUGAUGAAAAUAACUAAAUUAACUAUUUUUUUUAUAAAAAAAUUCUUAUAACAGAAUCUAAAAAUAAUAAUCAAAAUAACUAAAUUAACUUUUUUUUAAUAUUUCUUAUAACAAUCUAAAAAUAAUGAUGAAAACGACUAAAUUAAUCUUUUUAAUAAUUUUUAUAACAUGAUCUAAAACUAAUGAUGAAAAUAACUAAAUUAAAUUUUUUAAUGAUUUUUAUAACAUAAUCUAAAUUAAAAUAAAAUAGAAUAAAAUAAAAGGUAAACUUAUUUUUUUUGAAUUUUUAUGACAUGAUCUAGAAUUAAAUUAAAUAAAUGAUAAACUCCUUUUUUUUGGAAUAUUUUUAUGACAUGAUCUAGAAUUAAAAGAAAAUAAAUGGUAAGCUUUUUUUUUGAAAUAUUUUAUGACAUGAUCUAAAAUUAAAAGUAAAUAAAUGGCAAACUUAAUUUUGAUGAAUUUUUAUGGCAUGAUUUAAAAUUGAAAGUAAAUAAAUGGCAAACUUAAUUUUUUGGAAUAUUUCAUGACAUGGUUUAAAAUUAAAAGUAAAUAAAUGGCAAACUUAAUUUUUUGGAAUAUUUUAUGACAUAAUCUAGAAUUUAAAGAAAAUAAAUGCUAAACUUAUUUUUGAUGAAUUUUUAUGACAUGAUCUAGAAAUAAAUGGUAAACUUAAUUUUUUGGAAGAUUUUAUGACAGGAUCUAAAAUUAAAAAUAAAUGGUAAACUUAUUUUUUUGGUUUUUGUGACAUAAUAUAAAAUUAAAAUUAAAUAAAUGUUGAACUUAAUUUUUUUGAAAUUUAUGACAUAAUCUAAUAAUAAUAAUGAAAAUAACUAUAUAAACUUUUUUUUUAAAAGUAAAAUAAAAUAAAAUUUAUAACAUAAUCUAAAAUACAAGGAAAAAAUGGAAAAAUCUUUUUGUGAUUUUACUAUUAUGAUUUCUAUGUAUUUAUUUAUUUAUUUUAUUUGUAAAAUAAAUAACAAAAGAAUAAAUUGAUUUAAAUGUUUUAAGAAACAAAAGAAAAGAAUGAGCAAUUAACUCAAAACGCGAGGCUCGGGACCGAUCAUCUGAGGGUUCCCAUCGGAAUGCUAGAUUCCAACGGUUCUCUUCUGUUUUUAUAUGUUUAGAAAAAAAGUUUUAACAUUACACUUAAAUGGGAAAAUGUUUGAAUCGGGAUAAGAGACAAUUUAAUCGGGUUUAGAAAUAAUGGGUAUUUGACUAAGAUAUCAUCAAAUAGUUAUUUAUUUAAUUUGCAACAAAAGAUAGAUAAAUAGACAAAUUAAUUAAAACGUAGGAUGAAUAAUAAAAAUAAAUUAAAAAUUACAACUACAUGUAUUAUCCAUAUAGUAAUACAAAAUAUUCCAAUAAACUAAUUUUAAAUUAAAAAAAAAAAUAAAACUCAAAAUUAUUUUUUAUUUUUUUAAUAACAAUAAAAAAACUAAUCUAUUUUCAAUGUUUUAACAAAAAUAAGAAAUGACGAUUAUAAGAAAAUAAAUUAAUAAAACCAAAAACAACCAAAGCCAAGGAUCAAACUAGAGACUUGGUGGGAGAUGAGGGAAGUCUCCACCACCAGGCCAAGAGUGGUUGGUUAGAAAUCUAACGCGUCCACCACAACAAGUAUUAACUUACCUGAUUUAUUUUUAAAAAAUAAAAUAAAAGAACAUAAUGGGCCAAGGAACGAAUGGGCCUCUUAAAAAACAAACGAAGGGUUAGAUCCAGGGCGGACCGGGUCAGAUCCGACCCGGUUUAUUUGUUACUAACAACAACAACUUAGAAACCCUAAGCCAAAUUCAUGGCCGCUCAAACCUGUAACCAAACGAAAAACUUCUUCCUCCUCAUCUCGAUUUCAGACUUCUUUCCUAGAUUUCGUUUGACUUCUUACUACGAUUUUGGCCGGCCAACACUCACGUUUCCAGCCUAAUGAACACGCGACAGCUGCUGCUCAAAAACCUCAUUCGGUUGUGUUCCUCACGAAUCUGGCCUCGUCCAAAUGCGAUUUCGACCGCCUCAAAAACCGGCGACGAUUCUGGCCGCUCUCAAACCGCGAUUGCGACCUCACUCAAACCGCGACUGCGGCCGCUCAAGAAAACCGGCAACGAUUUCGGCUGCAUCCCUUAACCCCUAUUCCGACCUCACUCAAACUGCGACUGUGGCCGCUCAAGAAAAAAUGGCGAUGAUUCUCUCUCGAAAUCUAAUAUAACAAAACCUAAGGUAUUCGAAAUGAAAUCUUAAAGAGAGUAAAGAGGUAUACCAGAAUGGGAAACGAAAAUCCGGCGUGGCGGUUAGAAUCUUCAAGCGUGGCAGCAAUGCUGUAAGGUUCAGUUCCCUCCUCUUUUUAUUUCUUGCACUUAAAUUUGUGUUCUUGAUGUUCGUUGAUGGUUAUUAUUUUUUCUUGUGUUGUAUGUUUAGUGGCUAGGUUUUUUUUGUUGAUUUGUUAUGUGUUUGAAUCAAUACGAUGGCCGCCUUCAGAUCCCCCUCCAUACUUUCUGUUACUUCUUAUUUAUAUUGAAGAAAAUAAAUUAGGAUUGUUUGAAUAUAAAAAUAUUUUUUAUUUUGAUUCAAUUUAAUUUCUGAUGAAAUCCCUGCUUAAAUGCUCAAAUGGUGAUACUCUGCUCUAUCCCUUUUUACAAUUGACCUUUUAAAAUAAGUUUUACUUAAGAAAAAUGCUAACUGUUGUGUUCUGUUAUCAAUGCUGCAACAAGAC